Long non-coding RNA from Strongylocentrotus purpuratus (purple sea urchin), 505 nucleotides. RefSeq lists it as uncharacterized. The record is from RefSeq and is a predicted model, not a curated record. The transcript is spliced from 2 exons. NCBI's taxonomy places the organism in Eukaryota, Metazoa, Echinodermata, Echinoidea, Camarodonta, Strongylocentrotidae.
UCUUAUUUUUCUACUCCUAUUAAAACUAACUUAAUUUCAGGGUGGACUUCCCCUUUAAAGAAAAACGAAACUCGCCAAGGAUGCCUUGAAAAGGGCGGCGCUACGAAUGGCAUAUUCAGAUCUAGCCAAAAGUUGCUUAGACUGUGACGGCCAUCUUCCCGAGCAUGGAGAAGAAAUUUCAGGGCCAGAUGACAACUCACUGGCCAGGAAACUGACGCUGCGUAGGGCAAACCCCCUCACAUAUUCCCUUGAAUUAUAAUAAUCAGAAAAAUCAACUUAAAGAAAAAACGAAACUCGCUAAUGAUGCCUCGGAAAGGGCGGCACAACGAAUGGUUUAAACAAUUGAGACCGGGUAAAAAGAUGUGUUACGCUGUGAGGGCCUUCCUCCCGAGCAUAAAGAAGAAAUGUCAGGGCCAGAUGAAAACUCACUGGCCAGAAAACUGACGCCGCGUAGGGGCAUUCCCCAUCAUAUAUUCGAUCGAAAUGUAAUAAUCAGAAUAAUCAA